RNAcentral lists this ribosomal RNA (294 nucleotides) under Triticum aestivum (bread wheat). RNAcentral describes it as "partial small subunit ribosomal RNA". The record is from RNAcentral. Lineage: Eukaryota; Viridiplantae; Streptophyta; Magnoliopsida; Poales; Poaceae.
AUGAUGGAACAUAGUCUAACACAGAUUCCCAGAAAGUUUAUGACAAAGCACUUGAAGAGGUUAAAAUCAAAGAAACUGAAGGUCCACUUUCAAGUGAGCAGAAAAACAAUAUUUUCCAGACCGCUUACAAAGACACUUUGGAAUGCAAGUCAUCGCAGCCUCGUGGGUACGGAUACAUGGCCAAAACUUCAACUGGUUCUGAAAGGUUUCAUGUCCAGAUCGAAGAGCAAGCUCGUGCUACAGCAGCCACCCAGGAGCGAAACUCUCAUCUCAGCCAGCAGGCCAACGAAUUAA